CAAAGGUUUGGUCCUGACUUUACUAUCAACUGUAGCUAAACUUACACAUGCAAGUAUCCGCGCCCCCGUGAAAAUGCCCUACAGUUCUCCGCCCGAGAACAAGGAGCUGGUAUCAGGCACAAACUUUAAGCCCACGACGCCUUGCUCAGCCACACCCCCAAGGGAACUCAGCAGUGAUAAACAUUAAGCCAUAAGUGAAAACUUGACUUAGUUAAAGCUAAAAGAGUCGGUAAAACUCGUGCCAGCCACCGCGGUUAUACGAGAGACCCAAGUUGAUAGUCGACGGCGUAAAGAGUGGUUAAGAAACCCCAUAAAAUAAAGCCGAACACUUUCAAAGCUGUUAUACGCAUUCGAAAGCAAGAAGUCCAACUACGAAAGUGGCUUUACACCACCUGAACCCACGAAAGCUAAGAAACAAACUGGGAUUAGAUACCCCACUAUGCUUAGCCCUAAACAUUGAUAGCACCUUUACACCAGCUAUUCGCCUGGGAACUACGAGCAUAAGCUUAAAACCCAAAGGACUUGGCGGUGCUUAAGAUCCACCUAGAGGAGCCUGUUCUAGAACCGAUAACCCCCGUCAACCUCACCCUCCCUUGUUUUUUCCGCCUAUAUACCGCCGUCGUCAGCUUACCCUAUGAAGAUAAAAUAGUAAGCAAAAUUGGUACAACCUAAAACGUCAGGUCGAGGUGUAGCGCAUGAGAGGGGAAGAAAUGGGCUACAUUCACUACCAUAGUGAAUACGAAUGACGUACUGAAACGUAUGUCCGAAGGAGGAUUUAGCAGUAAGCAGGGAAUAGAGUGCCCAGCUGAAACCGGCCCUAAAGCGCGCACACACCGCCCGUCACCCUCCCCAAUCUCAUUACACUAAUAACUAAUACCCUACAAGACAUCAAGGGGAGGCAAGUCGUAACAUGGUAAGUGUACCGGAAGGUGCACUUGGACAAAC
Molecule: non-coding RNA, 945 nt
Filed under: Channa marulius (great snakehead)
Lineage: Eukaryota; Metazoa; Chordata; Actinopteri; Anabantiformes; Channidae
Description: 12S rRNA
Rfam family: Bacterial small subunit ribosomal RNA
Source: RNAcentral